RNAcentral lists this long non-coding RNA (1015 nucleotides) under Helianthus annuus (common sunflower). Its description in RNAcentral is "hypothetical non coding rna". The record is from RNAcentral. Lineage: Eukaryota; Viridiplantae; Streptophyta; Magnoliopsida; Asterales; Asteraceae.
GCUCACUUUUCUUUCCAUCUCUCUCGCCCUCUCUCUCUCUGAUUCUAUAAUUCUACUUUUUUUUUCUUUAGUAUUUCACCUAUAAUACUCCAAAGUCUUGCCCCGUUUUAAGUGUUUUAACCCCUGAUCACUGAUUUGAUACCCUGUCCGAUCGAUCUUGAACCCAUCAACGAAUGCCAAGGUGCUGCCUGAUAAAGGCUAUGCUUUGUAAACUACGUUGGGGUUCUGAUCUUGUGAUGUAUUGAUAAAGUUGAAUUGGGUUAUUACACUAAACACGAGUGCAUUAUAUAUUUUAUUUAAUAGCUUAAGAGUUAUACCCAAGAUUAUACCAGGAGACUUUUAGUUGAACCCUAAAGUUACAAAGUGAGUCAUUCUCUCUUUUUAUCAAACUGCUUUGCAGAACCUUAAAUGUUUUUCAUAUGUGGGAAUGCUUUCAAAAUCCUAUUUGCUUUACAAGUAGAUAUAAAUUAUAAUGACAAAUAAUUAUAAUUGUAUAAAUAAAAAUUAUAUAUAUAUAAGUAGCACAAACAAGGUUAAUGUGUAGAUAUUUAAAUGUGCUACUUAAAUUGAAAACCCUAUGUAUAUUAACUUAUGUAUUUAUAAAAACUUUGAUUUAUGUAUCUGUAAAAUACAUAGGGAUACAGGUUAUGUAUAUUAUAACAUGUUAUAAUGAAACUUAAAUAUAUAACACUAUAUAUUAACUUAAUAAAACAUAUGUAUAUUAAGUAUGUGCACUCCAUAGUGUUAUAAAAUUAUAUACAUAUCAAAACACCAUAAAUACUAUAUCCUUAUAUUUAAUGGGGCUAUAAUAAAAUAUAAUGCAUUGACUAUAUAUAUAUAGGGUAAAGUUCUUGUACAAAUAAUUUUAACAUACUAAACAUACAAAUUGAAGGAAAACUCAAAAAGACAAGGUGACAUUUUUGUAAUUAUCAAUAACUAUCAAAGUUACUCUACAAAUAUACCUAAAAAAACCUAACCACUCCCCCCACCCCCAAAAAAAACCUAACCCCCCCAC